GUCCCCGAGCUCUUCACCUCGGACAAGAGGGAAGAGACGCAGGACCCAAGCCAGCCCUCUGAAUUACCAAGCCUCAAACACACACCGUACACCAGCCUGGGCUACAAGCAAAGAGGAGGGACCCACAGCCGCCUUUUCGGACCGAAGAAAAGCUCCUUAAACUCACCGUGAGGACGGGAAACAGGCAACUCCACUAGCAGCAACAGGGUUGCACGGCCACCGGACGGUGCUGAGGGCUGCUUGGCGUCCCCGCCCUCCUCUGCCCUGAGGCCUUCAGGUGCUCAGAAGAGGCGGAGCUCAGGCGCCUUAAGGCGGGUGCAGCUCCGGAGCUGCCGAGGCGCGCCGCAGGGGUUGCUUCAGUUGGCGGGGCCGCUUCUGGCUGCCGUGAGUCUGUUCUGGAGUCCCUCUUGGGCCCUCUGGAUGGCGUCCGGGGAGAGGCGGGGCCUGGCGGAGGCCUAUGAUUUCUACAAAAGAUUCUUAGAACUACUUUUGUUUUUUAUUUUAACGUGGAGCCAAGUCGGCAUGUGCUAAUUCUAGACUUUAAAGCGCAGCGUCUUCCGUCGUGACUUCAUUGGUUCCCAGCACCCUGAGGCGUCCUGAGCGCACACAGCACCCCAGUGAGCGAGCGCCAUCCUCGCCUGAGCCCGGCUUUGCUUUUGUUUACAGCGUCUGGAGAGACAAACCCAUCAGAAUACUUGUUCCCGCAUAGGAGAGGGCUUCUGAUGACUGAGAAUUCUCUUGUACUUAAAGAGAACUAACUCUGAGGGGUAGUGGGACCUCAAGACUCAUUUAGGACCGUUUCCCUCCAUCUCGUCCUACUACUACUCUCGCCUCCGCCGCGUCUCCACGAUACGAAAUUGUUGUCUGGAGAUGACUAUUGCACAGAAUUCCUGAUUUCCAAUUUAAUUUCUCCGCCAAAUUCCUAUUUCACCUUAACCCCUAGAAUUACAAAACAAACAGUUCAGUCAUUUCUCUUAAGAAACUUAAUCCAGCUAUAUCUCAAGAUACGCUCUCAUCACACUACCCUCUAAUAUAUAGUUGGAAGUUAUUUACUGUAGUAAAUAAACUGUGGACCUCAGUAUACUGUGUAUUGCUAGUACUUUCAGAUCUUAGGCUCUUCUACAGUAAAUUACAGAAAAAUAUUAAACAAUAAAAUUUAGUAUCAGUGAGUCCCGAGUCAAUCUCAGAUGUCUUCACCAGUUUAACUACUGAAAGGGUUACUUACGUCGUGUGAAUUCCAGUGCUAUCCAAGCUAUCCGUUGUUACACAGUGACAUAUAUCCAUUUAGA
RNAcentral lists this long non-coding RNA (1289 nucleotides) under Capra hircus (goat). Its description in RNAcentral is "lncRNA (ENSCHIG00010000110.1)". The record is from RNAcentral. Lineage: Eukaryota; Metazoa; Chordata; Mammalia; Artiodactyla; Bovidae.